Dicentrarchus labrax (European seabass) is the source of this 753-nucleotide long non-coding RNA. RefSeq lists it as uncharacterized. Lineage: Eukaryota; Metazoa; Chordata; Actinopteri; Moronidae. The transcript has 2 exons. The record is from RefSeq and is a predicted model, not a curated record.
UAUAUAUGGUGUGGAGGGUGACGGGGGUUGGGUGGGGGGUUAGUUUAUCUAUUGAAACUAUCUUAAAAGACUUUGUUACAUUACACCUUAUUAGUUGUGUGCAAACUUCCCUGCUCUGCCGUGUACGGGAAGAGCCGAUCGCAACCGGAAGGACCCGAGUUGUCCCGAAGGAACGUCAGAACCGUCCCGACGGCAGCUAAGUUACCUGUUGAGUGCUGCACACCUCCUUCUCUGUUACGAGAGCGUUGAGCAGAGCCAAAUAACUUGUGUCCGUUGUGCGUGAGUGCAGAGUAAGUUUAUAUUCACUGUUUAUUGUUAUGUUAGCCGCUAUGUUGUAAAGGUACUGACGCACACACGGUUUUUUGUACAUUAGAUAUAUUACCAGAGUCUGGUUAAUAUGUUUGAAUUCCCUUAUAUAUAUGUUCUAGACAUAUAAUACUAUUUCAUUGUGUGUUUAAUAUUGCGUACGGGCUCUGCACCCGACGACAUUUACGUUUAGUACAGUUGUUGUGUAUGACAUUGUAAUGAUGUAGUCUGAGGCGCCCACGUGCGGCUAUUACGGAGUGUCAUUCCGACCUCAUGUUAUUUUACUGCAUAGUACUCUGUAUCUGUUUAGUUCACAGUCUUAUUGCUUUAUUUUGUUAAAAUAAUAAUAUAUUUGCUGUUUAUUUAUUUUGUGUAAUUCAGGAAACCACAACAAGACACAUCCUGUACAUUGUUCAUGUGAGGAAUUAAUAAAGAAGGAAACCAUAA